Molecule: non-coding RNA, 5489 nt
Organism: Sturnus vulgaris (Common starling)
Lineage: Eukaryota; Metazoa; Chordata; Aves; Passeriformes; Sturnidae
Source: RefSeq, a predicted model, not a curated record
CUUUGGUGCUGCUUAACUGGCCAUGUGGGGCAGGGCAAAGAAACAACUCCUGUGCUGGCCAUUGUACCCCAGCUGCAGGAGACCUUCUGCAGCUGAAACACUGUGGUGGAGCUGCAUCUGCUUUGUUUAUUUAAUACUGGCUAUUUCACAGCAGACUAAUAAGGGCAGGAUGGUGAAAGGCAUUCAGACCCUGCUGCAGAAGUCCUGAGUUGCACAAAGUAGUUUCUGUAUGUCUCUGUCCCUGUGCAACAAAGCACAUAUCUGUUGGAUUCCUGCCUUGUGCCCGUGAUUAAUUUGGUCUCUGGUCUCAGGUAAGCUGUCCAGCCAUUGGUACAAACCUUGUGUGAUCAUGGUUGGUUCUUGUAAGCAUGUGGGCUCAGCCGGCCAGCAAAUUACCAGCCCCAGGAGAGCCAAUGAUCCAGACAAACUGCCCUCUCCACAUUUGUGGAGCAAAUCUUGCUCCCCUCUGGCUGCAGCCCUCUUUGUCUUACCUAGGCAUGGUGUACUGUGCUGAGGAAUAGCUAAAAGGUCUCUCUUGACACCUGGUAUGACAGACUGUGGGUAACUGAAUACACUGACAGGACCUUGGUCUGCAAAAAGUACAGCUGAAGGAGACGUGAUCAAGGCUGUGAAGUGAUGAGUGGUGCUGGGAAGUGAAUAAUCCAUGUGUCCUAUGACACUGGAGCACAGGAGCAUGCAAUGACAUUACCAGGCACCAGAUUUAAAACCAACCAGAGGAAAUGCAUUUUGCAGACAACACUGUGGAGCUGUGGAGCCAGUGCUACAGGAUGCCGGACUUAGAUUUGGAAAAGGCUACCAAGGGCUGUUAAAUAUGUGGCUGAUGGUGGAGCCUGUGCUGGGAGCAGGGCUUGGGAGGCUGCUGGGGGAGCAUUGCUCUCUGCUUGCUGUGGUGUCGCUCUGGUUCAGCAUCUGCUCCAAGCUGCUAUUGACUGUGUGGACAAUGGCCUUGUGCUUUGGCAGACUGAGAAAGCAGCAGUCGUGUCUUUCAUCUUUCCUGCUUUCACAGUGAAGCUGGAAUAAAACCAUGAAUCUUCCACAACGGAGGACCCAGCAGUGCAGGAGUUUGACUGAGCUGACUUUCCACUCCGAGCAGCUUUGCCUGUGGUUGUGUUAGCGCUGCACUUGGGGCAGGCAGAGGGAACGCAGAGGAGACGAUGUUCAGCCGGAAUGGUGCCCGAGGCGAGGGAUACGUCCAAGAGCUCUUCCAUGAGGAAGCACAGCAGGUGUCUCAAACGCAGACCAAGCCCUGGUGGAAGAUCCAGCUGUUUGUAUGGGAGCCGGUGCUCUUUGGAACGUGGGAUGGGGUCUUCACCUCCUGCAUGAUCAACAUUUUUGGAGUGGUCCUUUUCCUGAGGACAGGAUGGCUUGUGGGAAACACUGGCAUUGUAAUGGGCAUGUUUUUGGUGUCCUUUGUCAUUCUGGUUGCCCUGGUGACAGUCUUGUCUGGAAUUGGGGUGUGUGAGAAGUGCAGCAUUGGAAGUGGAGGAGUCUACUCCAUGAUUUCUACUGUCCUUGGAGGUCAAGUAGGGGGCACCAUUGGCCUCCUUUACAUUUUUGGCCAGUGUGUUGCAGGUGCCAUGUACAUCACUGGCUUUGCAGAGUCCAUUGCAGGUGUCCUGAGCCUCAGCAACAUCUGGGCAGUGCGUGGCAUCUCCCUGGCUGUCCUGCUCGGCCUGCUGGGAAUCAAUCUGGCUGGGGUGAAGUGGAUCAUCAGGCUCCAGCUUCUGCUGCUCUUCCUGCUGGCUGUCUCAACGCUGGACUUUGUCAUUGGAUCCUUUACACAUCUUGAUCCAGAGCACGGCUUUGUUGGCUACUCCGAAGAGCUGAUGUUCAACAACACACUGCCAGACUACAGCCAGGGGGAGUCCUUCUUCACUGUUUUUGGAGUGUUUUUCCCAGCUGCCACAGGCGUGAUGGCUGGGUUCAACAUGAGUGGGGAUCUCCAGAAGCCUUCUACCAACAUCCCUGUGGGGUCUCUGGCUGCUAUUGGCACCUCGUGGUUUCUGUACAUGGUCUUCGUUUUUUUGCUGGGAGCCAUUUGUACCCGUCAGUCACUCCGCUAUGACUUCAUGAUAGCAGAGAAGGUAUCCUUGGUGGGUUUUUUAUUUUUGCUAGGGCUGUACAUCUCAUCUCUGGCCUCCUGCAUGGGAGGGCUGUAUGGAGCACCCAGGAUCCUGCAGUGCAUCGCCCAGGAGAAUGUGAUCCCCAUGCUUGCCUUCCUUGGACGUGGGAAAGGUCCCAACAAGACUCCAGUGGCUGCGAUUUGCUUAACAAGUCUCAUCACCAUGGCUUUUGUCUUCAUUGGGCAAGUGAAUGUUCUUGCUCCCAUAGUCACCAUCAACUUCAUGCUGACAUAUAUUUCUGUGGACUAUUCCUAUUUCUCACUAUCCUUGAGCUACAACAUUCAGCAGAAAACUGAAGAGACUCAGAAGGGAACUGCUAGACCUGCUCACUCUUCCCAGCCUUUAAUUUUCAACAAGUCCCCCAGCCGUUCAGCAGAUGGGGUAAUUCAAAGCAGAUCAAAUGGCACCUUGCUGGAAUUCAAAAAAGAUAUGGACCAGCUUUUUAAACCAUUUUUUAGUGAGCCAAGUACUUGCAAAAGAGAAGGAGCCGAGAAUUUAACCCAGAAGGUCAAACAGAAGAAGGCAAAGAAGCCAGCCAAGCAGACAUUACAAGACAGCUUUCUCCUGGAUCUCCAACACGAUGCUCCCCUGGCUCAGUACAGCUGGGAUGAGACCACGGAGCCCCAUGAGAGGCAGCAGGAUGUGGAUGAGCAGGGUGGGCAGUGGGAUGCAGUGGGACCUGCUGUGGAUGCCCAGCACGUUCCCAGGACUCUGGAGCAGAGGGAACAGCUCUGCAGUGAAGUGCUGAUGCUCCCUGGCCCAAGGGGAGAAGAAUCCUCUGUAAAGCAACAGAAUCCAGAACUGGAAAUUCAGCAUAUACCUGAAUCCUUGUACUCCAGAUUUUUCAGUCACUGGAUUUCCUUUGCUGGUGCAAUCGUGUCCCUCAUCAUAAUGUUUGUCAUUCAGUGGAUCUACACCCUUGUCAGUCUGGGAGCAGCAGUUAUUCUGUAUUUCUACAUUGGCCAAGUGAGCCCAGGGCUCCCUCUUGGAGCAGCAGCAAAUUUCAGUUUCUUUGGCUGGAUUAAGUCGGUUUUGAUCACUUCAUGCAGGUUGGUACCAGUCACUUGGCAGUGACCAACAUGCUGCUCAUUGCUCCCAUGACCCACUAAUGAGCAUAGAGAGGGCUGGAAGAAUUGACUUGAUUAUUACCUUAAGCAGUCUUUCUGCCCCUUCUUGCAUGCUCAGGGUUAUUCUUGCUUAAUGGUGAAAAGAGCUAUUUGCUCCCAUUAGCCUGGCAUAUGGUUGGCUGUGUAUGUGGGGAAGCAGGAGUCUCCUCUGCUUUGUGUGUGGGAAUGUCUGCUGAUAGCCAUAUCUUGGUGCCUGAAGCUUUAUCUUACCCCAAAGGUCUGAGCUCAAAAUUUAUGGCUCAGGUUGAACUGGAAAAUCUGAAAGGAAAUGAGAAAUUGGAGACUCCCUCUCUUCCACCCAUCAUUCAGCGAAAGCAAAUUCCUCUGGUGGUGGUGGAGCAGGCACACAUGGUUCCUGUGUUCAAGCUUCAGAGAGGAAAUUUGGGGCAGGGGAACUGCAGUAAUUUCGGGACAAAUAAGAUAAACAGGGUCUUUGGUGAAGGAACCAUUCAGUAUUCAGUUUUCAUGGGACUGCAGUAGCAUUGUCUUGGGGUUUUGAUUCCCAGAGGGCUUUUUUUUCGUUGAUUAUUAACUAGUUUUGUUAAACUUAUUUGAUGCUAUUAAUUAUUAAUUCCAUCACAUUUGGUUUCCUAUAGCAGCUUAUGAGCACCUCUGCCUCUGAGCAGUGGGCUUUGAGUUUCUCAGUCUGCUGGUUUGUUUUUUUUUUUGGGGGGGGGAGGAGUGAAUGCCAUAGCGAGGACUGUGCAACACGAGCUGCCAUGCAUUGUAUGUGCCAAUUUGCUGGCUCCUUCAAAACAGAUGAAAGUCCAGGCAAGUAAGCACAUUGGUCUGUCUUGCCAAGUCCUGUCUCUGCCCACAGUUCCUAUAACAUGACCACACACUUUUGGUAGCAGAGGUGGUUGGGGAGAGAAGCCAGGGGUGAGGGAUCUCUCUGAGGUCCCCAUGGUACGUCUUAGACAUAACAGCACUUAAUUAAUCUUUUACAAAAGAUUCUCACGGAAUUAUGAUGCCUUUGCAUCUUCUCAACAGGUAAAGGGUUGGACUUGGAGGAGUGGAGGAAUCAGCCCAGGCUCUCUCAUCAGCAUUUAGUGAUGGUCCUCCAAGUAUAGCAAAUUUGAUAGUUCACUGCUCUGAGAGGCCCCACUCAGAGGGAGGUGCUGGGCUGAGACCAGCACCAGGAGAGCUCAAAGGGUCUCACUCUGGACUGCUGCUCACAGUGUAAUAAGACAGUUGGCUUUGGUCAUAGUAGUUUUCCAUCCUGGCCACAGUUUUUGUCAGUAACUUUCUUUGAAUGCUAUAUAACAAAAAUAUUGUUCCACUUGGGUUGUUACUCAUGCAAGAAAAAUAAGUUUCCAAGGAUAUUCAUUAAAAACCAGAAGCUGCUAGCAUUAGUUCCCUGGAGCAGACAGUGUUUCUGAUAAGCUCAAGAGGAGCUGAGCCCAGGUGCUGUUUGUCAGGCAUUACUCAGAUCACAGUGCAGCCCGAGGGGCAGGGCGAGUGGGAUGCACCACCACAUAUGUUUUCUGCAUAUCUCAUUUGGAGUAAGGGAUUAUUCCCUGUCCCCUUGCACAACAUCUGCUGGAGUGGUGACACGAGCCUAAGCCAGGGGUGAGGAGUUGAGCCUGGGAACAGGGUGAGGGGGGCCAUGCUGAUAUGCUGCCAGAAUUACUCAUGGCACAGUGAGCCAGACCCUGCUGCUUCAUAUCCCGGGCAGUUCUGUCUGCUUCCACCCCAGGCAGAUUUGUGGCUGCUCAGUUUAGCUCGGUGCCUCUGUGAUGACAGAACAGCAUUUUCCUCCCAGUUGUCCUUUGGUACAUCUCAGUGGUGUCUCUUGCCUGUUGUCAGAAAUCCCCAUGGGAGUCUGGUUGAGGUGUGAGGCUUCAUGGAGAAUGCCCACAUGUGAAAAAGAGAAAUAUCUCUGCCUCUUGUAUAGAGAGGUGCUGUUGUCACAGGAGGAUUUUAUCUUUGGGUUACCAGGCCAAUAAAGUCCUUGGUUCUUUCAUCAAUGCAGUCAAUGAGCUAAGACUCUGUCAAGGAAGGCUGAGGGGAGAUCUGGUGAGUGCCCAAGGUAGAAAGUGAUCCCGUUUUUCUCUCCUCAAAGAGUGCAAUCUCUGGGUCAUCCAGAGGUUGGUCACCUUAUCCUAGUGCCAGGGCUCCUGCUCUUUCUGGCCAAAAGACACCUUGGGCUCUGCUUGGGAGUCAGGAGAAGGCCAAGUCCCCAGGAGCAGAUCGUGGUGACACCAUCCUUUGCAACAGU